Non-coding RNA from Triticum aestivum (bread wheat), 125 nucleotides. The record is from Rfam. Lineage: Eukaryota; Viridiplantae; Streptophyta; Magnoliopsida; Poales; Poaceae.
CUUGUACUUCCUCCGUCCGGAAAUACUUGUCGUGGAAAUGGAUACAAAUGGACGUAUCUAAAACUAAAAUACAUCUAGAAAUAUCUAUUUCUCGGACAAGUAUUUCCGGACGGAGGGAGUAUUUC